CAGCAGCCGCGGGAAUACGUAGGUGGCAAGCGUCGUCCGGAAUUAUUGGGCGUAAAGCGCGCGCAGGUGGUUUAAUAAGUCUGAUGUGAAAGCCCACGGCUCAACCGUGGAGGGUCAUUGGAAACUGUUAAACUUGAGUGCAGGAGAGAAAAGUGGAAUUCCUAGUGUAGCGGUGAAAUGCGUAGAGAUUAGGAGGAACACCAGUGGCGAAGGCGGCUUUUUGGCCUGUAACUGACACUGAGGCGCGAAAGCGUGGGGAGCAAACAGGAUUAGAUACCCCUGUAGUCCCUGUCUCUUAUAC
Molecule: ribosomal RNA, 301 nt
Filed under: uncultured bacterium
Lineage: Bacteria
Description: partial 16S ribosomal RNA
Rfam family: Bacterial small subunit ribosomal RNA
Source: RNAcentral